UACGUAGGGUGCAAGCGUUAAUCGGAAUUACUGGGCGUAAAGCGUGCGCAGGCGGUUUUGUAAGUCUGAUGUGAAAUCCCCGGGCUCAACCUGGGAAUUGCAUUGGAGACUGCAAGGCUAGAAUCUGGCAGAGGGGGGUAGAAUUCCACGUGUAGCAGUGAAAUGCGUAGAGAUGUGGAGGAACACCGAUGGCGAAGGCAGCCCCCUGGGUCAAGAUUGACGCUCAUGCACGAAAGCGUGGGGAGCAAACUGG
This 253-nucleotide ribosomal RNA is filed under the name uncultured bacterium. RNAcentral describes it as "partial 16S ribosomal RNA". It matches the Rfam family "Bacterial small subunit ribosomal RNA", at positions 524 to 776 of the family's 1533-position model. The record is from RNAcentral.